CGUCCACUUGUUAUGAAAAACACAGUCAACUUGGGACACGAGUCCAGAAGCACAGCCUGCAGACUGCACAGAACCUCCUGCAGGAAGAGGUGGCCCGUGCCGAGGAGCGAUCUGAGAGCUUUACUUCUUUUUACAGUUGCGGAACAGACGAUCUCUAGGGUUCUUCCGUCUUUGGAAAAGCGCGUCGGCCUCACAUCUUGGUGACGUCCACGCCGUCGUGAA
Long non-coding RNA from Entelurus aequoreus (snake pipefish), 222 nucleotides. RefSeq lists it as uncharacterized. The transcript is spliced from 3 exons. The record is from RefSeq and is a predicted model, not a curated record. NCBI's taxonomy places the organism in Eukaryota, Metazoa, Chordata, Actinopteri, Syngnathiformes, Syngnathidae.